Molecule: long non-coding RNA, 1033 nt
Organism: Cyprinus carpio carpio
Lineage: Eukaryota; Metazoa; Chordata; Actinopteri; Cypriniformes; Cyprinidae
Source: Ensembl
CGCUGUGCUCGUUGAUGAAAGUCAAAGUGGCGUUACGUGAGCUCAGUGUAGCCUACAUUCAGUGGCGCCUGUUAGUUUUCCCCUUGUGUAUUUACAAUGUCACAUAUCAAAGCAUUACAAUCAAACGGAUUAAAAUACAAAGAACAAAAAUACCCCUAUAAAUCUACACAGCGAUUCAUGGUAGGCCAGUUAAUGACUUAAAAGUCAUUGCCAUGUCACAUAAUGGCGGCAAUUAGUAGCGCUCGCUCGCUCAGCUGUUUACGUCGCCUGAAGACUAAUCUCAAGAAUGACUGACAAAAGACUGAAUGGAGACGCGGAGGCUGUUUUGAAAGAGUUUGACACCACAUGCAGUCGCAAAAUGAGCUUCAAAUAGUCCACAGCCCAGACUUUCAGCCAGAAUGAAUGAUGGGAAUCACAGCAGAACUGGACCGCCGCUGAGACGUAUCUCAGCAAGUCUCGUCUGAGCCUGAUGACCCUCCUGUGACAUCAAAGUCAAUUAAGGCAUCUGUUUCAUUUUCAAAACCUGGUGUAUUUGGAUGCUGCAGUCUUGUGAGUGUGCGUUUGUGUUCUGUUGUUCAGAGAGAAUAUGUCAGCAACAGGAGGCUGUUCCUGGCCUUAGUCCAGAGAUGUUCAUGACUACCAGACUGAGGAAGACACCGUUUGUCAAAGGAUCUCAGGGGACAGUCCACUGGUCAAGCAGAACUUUAGCAAAAACACUCUUGCAUUUUACGACUCGAAAAUAAACUAAAAUAAACAUUCAUUCCAGUCAUAGUUACACACAAUAUGGUGUCAAGCUAUAUAGAUGUGUUUGUAUUUGAACAUAAUGGUUAAAGGAACAUUUUAUAACAUAUGGAUAUUGAAACAUGUAUUGAGAGAAUAUUAAAUGUUAAUUGUAUUUACACAUUCACAGCUUUAAUGUAAAAAUCUUUAAGAAUACUUUAUAUUAUAAAUGUAUUUGUAUAGUUACAUUUUACUUGUGAUGAAAUCUUUGAAAUGUGUUGAAUAUGGCAACAGAAAUAAUACUAAACAGGAC